Molecule: ribosomal RNA, 497 nt
Filed under: uncultured bacterium
Lineage: Bacteria
Description: partial 16S ribosomal RNA
Rfam family: Bacterial small subunit ribosomal RNA
Source: RNAcentral
GAUGAACGCUGGCGGCGUGCCUAAUACAUGCAAGUCGAGCGAACAGACGAGGAGCUUGCUCCUCUGACGUUAGCGGCGGACGGGUGAGUAACACGUGGAUAACCUACCUAUAAGACUGGGAUAACUUCGGGAAACCGGAGCUAAUACCGGAUAAUAUAUUGAACCGCAUGGUUCAAUAGUGAAAGACGGUUUUGCUGUCACUUAUAGAUGGAUCCGCGCCGCAUUAGCUAGUUGGUAAGGUAACGGCUUACCAAGGCGACGAUGCGUAGCCGACCUGAGAGAGUGAUCGGCCACACUGGAACUGAGACACGGUCCAGACUCCUACGGGAGGCAGCAGUAGGGAAUCUUCCGCAAUGGGCGAAAGCCUGACGGAGCAACGCCGCGUGAGUGAUGAAGGUCUUCGGAUCGUAAAACUCUGUUAUUAGGGAAGAACAAAUGUGUAAGUAACUAUGCACGUCUUGACGGUACCUAAUCAGAAAGCCACGGCUAACUCCGUG